UGGUAUUGCAGCUUUUUUAGAAUUUGUCUAGCAGGUUUUCUGGUUUUCACCAGAAAAUGCCACC
Small nuclear RNA from Aotus nancymaae (Ma's night monkey), 64 nucleotides. Its record names the gene U7. It matches the Rfam family "U7 small nuclear RNA". Rfam says of the family: Animal histone pre-mRNAs are spliced by a different mechanism than nuclear pre-mRNAs and self-splicing introns. This processing involves the U7 snRNP, which contains only one RNA species: U7. The record is from Ensembl. NCBI's taxonomy places the organism in Eukaryota, Metazoa, Chordata, Mammalia, Primates, Aotidae.